Molecule: ribosomal RNA, 295 nt
Filed under: Salmonella enterica
Lineage: Bacteria; Pseudomonadati; Pseudomonadota; Gammaproteobacteria; Enterobacterales; Enterobacteriaceae
Also listed under: 1 other name
Description: partial 16S ribosomal RNA
Rfam family: Bacterial small subunit ribosomal RNA
Source: RNAcentral
UAGCGGUGAAAUGCGUAGAGAUCUGGAGGAAUACCGGUGGCGAAGGCGGCCCCCUGGACAAAGACUGACGCUCAGGUGCGAAAGCGUGGGGAGCAAACAGGAUUAGAUACCCUGGUAGUCCACGCCGUAAACGAUGUCUACUUGGAGGUUGUGCCCUUGAGGCGUGGCUUCCGGAGCUAACGCGUUAAGUAGACCGCCUGGGGAGUACGGCCGCAAGGUUAAAACUCAAAUGAAUUGACGGGGGCCCGCACAAGCGGUGGAGCAUGUGGUUUAAUUCGAUGCAACGCGAAGAACC